RNAcentral lists this ribosomal RNA (362 nucleotides) under Bacillus sp. EB74. Its description in RNAcentral is "bacterial SSU rRNA". It matches the Rfam family "Bacterial small subunit ribosomal RNA", at positions 91 to 446 of the family's 1533-position model. The record is from RNAcentral. Lineage: Bacteria; Bacillati; Bacillota; Bacilli; Caryophanales; Bacillaceae.
GUUAGCGGCGGACGGGUGAGUAACACGUGGGUAACCUGCCUGUAAGACUGGGAUAACUCCGGGAAACCGGAGCUAAUACCGGAUAGUUCCUUGAACCGCAUGGUUCAAGGAUGAAAGACGGUUUCGGCUGUCACUUACAGAUGGACCCGCGGCGCAUUAGCUAGUUGGUGAGGUAACGGCUCACCAAGGCGACGAUGCGUAGCCGACCUGAGAGGGUGAUCGGCCACACUGGGACUGAGACACGGCCCAGACUCCUACGGGAGGCAGCAGUAGGGAAUCUUCCGCAAUGGACGAAAGUCUGACGGAGCAACGCCGCGUGAGUGAUGAAGGUUUUCGGAUCGUAAAGCUCUGUUGUUAGGGAA